RNAcentral lists this long non-coding RNA (291 nucleotides) under Cyanistes caeruleus (blue tit). RNAcentral describes it as "lncRNA (ENSCCEG00000023684.1)". The record is from RNAcentral. Lineage: Eukaryota; Metazoa; Chordata; Aves; Passeriformes; Paridae.
AUGAGGCAUUGCCAGACCCCACUGGGUUACAGCCUGGCCACCCCAGACCUACUGGAUAACUCCAGCUUCCCAAAAAUCCCAGCUGAAUGCAGGUCUAGGAAAGGCAGCAGACAGAGGCAAGAAGGAUUGUCCCCAGGAGCUGUUCCUGCCCUCCGUGGGUACUUCUGCACCAGCAAACUCCAGAGGGGCCCUGAGUCCAGAGACCUCAAGUGCAGUCAGCUCUUUGUAAGGAGGGACACAGUGUGCAAUCCCUGGCCUUGGGGGAUGCCCAUGGGCUCACCCCAGCCCUGA